RNAcentral lists this ribosomal RNA (403 nucleotides) under uncultured bacterium. Its description in RNAcentral is "partial 16S ribosomal RNA". It matches the Rfam family "Bacterial small subunit ribosomal RNA", at positions 30 to 526 of the family's 1533-position model. The record is from RNAcentral.
AUUGAACGCUGGCGGCAGGCCUAACACAUGCAAGUCGAGCGAGCGGCGGACGGGUGAGUAAUGUAUGGGGACUGCCUGAUCGAGGGGGAUAACUACUGGAAACGGUGGCUAAUACCGCAUACUAUCGGAUAACCCAUAUGGGAUUAGCUAGUAGGUGGGGUAAAGGCGCACCUAGGCGAUGAUCUCUAGCUGGCCUGAGAGGAUGAGCGUCCACACGUGAACUGAGACACGGCCCAGACUCCUACGGAGGCAGCAGUGGGGAAUAUUGCACAAUGGGCGCAAGCCUGAUGCAGCCAUGCCGCGUGUAGGAAGAAGGCCUUAGGGUUGUAAAGUACUUUCAGCGGAGAGGCGGUACCCGCAGAGGAAGCACCGGCUAACUCCGUGCCAGCAGCCGCGGUAAUUC